This 334-nucleotide ribosomal RNA is filed under the name uncultured bacterium. Its description in RNAcentral is "bacterial SSU rRNA". It matches the Rfam family "Bacterial small subunit ribosomal RNA", at positions 523 to 856 of the family's 1533-position model. The record is from RNAcentral.
AUACGUAGGGUGCGAGCGUUAAUCGGAAUUACUGGGCGUAAAGCGAGCGCAGACGGUUACUUAAGCAGGAUGUGAAAUCCCCGGGCUCAACCUGGGAACUGCGUUCUGAACUGGGUGACUAGAGUGUGUCAGAGGGAGGUAGAAUUCCACGUGUAGCAGUGAAAUGCGUAGAGAUGUGGAGGAAUACCGAUGGCGAAGGCAGCCUCCUGGGAUCAUACUGACACUGAGGUUCGAAAGCGUGGGUAGCAAACAGGAUUAGAUACCCUGGUAGUCCACGCCGUAAACGAUGUCUACUAGUCGUUGGGUCCCUUGAGGACUUAGUGACGCAGCUAAC